GAAUGACUGGGGUGACCAUAUAGUUUUAUCAUCCAAGCCAGGAAAUUUGUGCAAGUCAAAGUGAGUGCUAAAAAUAAUUAACGGGUGUUAUCUCAUCUACAACAGGGUGUGUGAGCUGGCAGUGCCCUGCACAAAACAGCGCUUACGGCUUUGGGAACAACAAAUACCCAAUCUAUCCCUCGGUGUGAUUAGAUACUUGUUACAUAAAGCAAACCGCAACGUUCACUCCUCAGAAGACAGCCAGAGCUGGCAACGGCCAGCGGGAAAGCAGUCACAGAAAUGGUGCUGGUCUUCAGUGUCGCGCAGGACAGAUGCCAAGGCUCCCGCCUCAAGGGCGCGGUUAUCCUCACACGGUCAUUUCAGGGCAACCAUUAGGAUGACACUAGGAGCAAAGCCUGCUGGAUCAAUCCCCAUACCAGCAAGCCGUGCGGUGUGGAAACACGACCGGGCAGAGGCGCACCACGAUACUUUGGGGAAGCCACGCACGUGACACGCUCACCAGAGAUUCUGGGGAAUCAGGACACAGUGCAGCCCCAACCAGGAUCCAUCUGAAAUGAGGUAGACAGAAGCCGAGGAAGCUGUAAACCAGAACCAAGCCCGAAUCAGAUAGAUCAGGCAACAAAAAGGACACAAGACAGAGCGAAGGCUGCCCUCUCAAGGAGAACUGCGCCCUCUCUCGGGCAGGGGGCUCAGCACAGGGGCUGCUCUGCGAGGGAGGCCACACUCAUUUUCCCAAACGUCCCUCCUGCGGCCUACGAUGCUUGUUCUAGCCAUAGCAUCUGCACGAACACCUGAACACAUUCUGAGCCCCCAGUGCUACAGAGUGAGGAAAUAGAAUUUAAAUGCUCAACUUUGCCACAUCUACAGGUGAAAUGUCUCCACCUACACAAGUGAUCGUUAUAGACCCAUGAUGUGGAAGGGCUUACGAUGAAAAUGUAAAGUUACACACAUACUGCUCUGCGUAUAACAUGGGAAAAGCAGCAUACGCCCCCCGGCAUAAGCCUGAAGGGACUCGGAGAAAGAGAAGAGCUGCUGAACCGUGACCUUUCCUCCCCUCACUUUAAAUCUCCUCUAGAACCAUUAUUGUGAUGUAAGCACUCUGCACAAUAAGGGGGUAAGCUGCCUGCACGGGCUCCAGUCCCGGGACGCUCCUGGGGCCCGCCCCCCAGCCCACUCACUCGCCCCUUCUCAGUGGCCAGUCCAGCCCCCGGGCCCACAGAGAUCUGCCCCACGCUCGCGCUGUGUUCUGCCCCUUCUGCUGUUACACCUGUCACGGGACACUAUAAUCACUUCUUUUCACGUCUAACAGGCUGUGAGAAGUCCCUGAGUGCAGGGGACAUGUUUAUCCAUGUCCGUCUGCCCUCAGGCACUGGGCAGAGAGAGUACCUCCACGCUGGAUGCUUGAAAGAAGGAAAAACAAGUCUGUCCAAAACCUGCAUCUUUUCCAAUUGGUUUCUGUUUGUUUUCAGAAAUCAGAAUGCCAAGGUACAGCCGUAGUGUUGUCAAAUUGUUGCUGGGCUCUCCAGGGGUAGAUAAGAAGUUUUCACACACACACACACACACACACACACACACACACAAAUGGACACCACCCAGAGACACACAGACACACACAUGGACAUACAUACAUGAGCGUGCGCACACACACACACACACACACACACACACUCACACUCACACACACACACAGAAAAAGGAGCCGGGCCCAACCCAUGGCUGCUCAUCAGAAUCCAAAGACGCACAGCUCCCAGCAAGCUCUUGGCCCGGUACGAAGGGCAUUUGUAAGAGGGUAACAGCAACCCACAGCAUAGUCCACUGCGAUGAACGAACCAUUCAAUCUCCUCUCUGAAGAGAAAGAAGCAACAAAGCCUCCUUCCUAGCUCACGCUCGCCGGCACAGAGCCCAUGUGCAUCCUGCACGGGGAACAGCGAGCUUCAAAGAGAAGCCCUGGCCUCAAGUCAAGACCUAAGAAAGUGUGACCUAGUGCACAGAUUACUAAGGAGCCUGUGCGCAUCUGGCAUCACAAGAGUGUGAGUCCCAAACGUGGCUGCACUGCAAAAUCAUGGAAAGCACCGAAAAGUCACCCCCUUACAAAUCGGCAUCAGAACCUCUGGGGAUGGUGCCAAUAUUUUUUUCCCAAAGGGUGCUCAGGCACACCCAAGUUUGGGAACUGCUGCCCUGAGUAAGCAGAAGGUGGCAACAUGUUACCUUCUGACCAUGGCAUGAACAGGAAGACCUCCCAGAAGAGACAGUUGUCACCCUUCCUUUGAGGAAUGGACAGGUCUGUAGAGGGAACUUCAGCAAAGGGCCCCCAUACUGAGGAGCCCCACCAAGACCAGGGUGACCUGUGCACAGGGUACCGGUUCCCUACAAAAAGCAGGUCAGCUGGAGCAGGUCCGUGGCGAGGCGAGAGGCUGGGACAGCUGGGGAGCGCCACGUCCCAUGGACUGGAGGAGGUAAGAACUGAGGUGGCCCUUGAUGAUUUACACUGCUUUUAGAAAUGGGCAGAAUGUGACUCUUUUUAAUGGUUUUAUAUUUCAGGCAUAUUCCAGUCAAACUUGUCUUUCCUCUUCAAGGUCCAACUCAAGUGCGGUUGCUGCCAGGACCCCAGGGAUAAGAGUAAAACAGCCCGACUGCUUUUAGGUCCAGUGAAGUCUAGAAUAAUCCACCGUGAUUUUAAUUAGAAGCUAUUAUUCAGCAAACAGAGAAAGUAUGAAACAUUUCACUUAAGAAAUAGGCUGGCACCUAAAGCUGGCAAAUUCCCUCCUUCUCUUCACGCCACUUUUUUGGCCUUGUGAGGGGGCAGCCCCACCUGAAGGUGAGAAGGCAGAAGACAUCGUGAGCUCUACUCCCCAUCUUCUGGAAGCUCCCGCUGCCGCCACGCCACCAAGGAAGAAUCUGAAGGCAAUCUCUACGUCUCCAGCCUCACCCCAGGCUCACACUGUUCUUAAAGAACAGGACGACAAGCAGA
Long non-coding RNA from Neofelis nebulosa (Clouded leopard), 2971 nucleotides. RefSeq lists it as uncharacterized. The transcript is spliced from 4 exons. Lineage: Eukaryota; Metazoa; Chordata; Mammalia; Carnivora; Felidae. The record is from RefSeq and is a predicted model, not a curated record.